UACGGAAGGCAGCAGUGGGGAAUAUUGCACAAUGGGCGAAAGCCUGAUGCAGCUAUGCCGCGUGUAUGAAGAAGGCCUUAGGGUUGUAAAGUACUUUCAGUCGUGAGGAAGGUGUUAAGGUUAAUAACCUUAGCAAUUGACGUUAGCGACAGAAGAAGCACCGGCUAACUCCGUGCCAGCAGCCGCGGUAAUACGGAGGGUGCGAGCGUUAAUCGGAAUUACUGGGCGUAAAGGGCACGCAGGCGGUUAAUUAAGUUGGAUGUGAAAUCCCCGGGCUUAACCUGGGAAUGGCAUUCAAGACUGGUUAGCUAGAGUCUUGUAGAGGGGGUAGAAUUCCAUGUGUAGCGGUGAAAUGCGUAGAGAUGUGGAGGAAUACCGGUGGCGAAGGCGGCCCCUGGACAAAGACUGACGCUCAUGUGCGAAAGCGUGGGGAGCAAAC
This 439-nucleotide ribosomal RNA is filed under the name uncultured bacterium. Its description in RNAcentral is "bacterial SSU rRNA". It matches the Rfam family "Bacterial small subunit ribosomal RNA", at positions 340 to 773 of the family's 1533-position model. The record is from RNAcentral.